UCCCAUGUGAUAUAUAAUAUGGCGAAACACAAUAUCCAUAUCAAUUGCCAUUGCAAAGUCUAUGACAUCUGGGCUGAAUCAAGGAGAGUUGGCUUCAAAGUUAAAUUUCAAUUAUUUUAUUUUUGAUAAAAUCACAUAUACCAAGGUAAAAGUUCUUAUAUUUCAAAUUUAUAUAAAAAAAAUUCUUAUUACCUUUUAAAACCUAAUUAAUCAAAAUUCAGAUGCCAUAUCAAUAUCAGAUGAUGUUUAGAUAUUAGUAAUAAAUAUUUGCUCAACAUCAAAGGAAACAAUAUUUAUUAAAAUCUUCAAUUAUUUUAUUUUUGAUGUGUAAACUUUCAUUAGAGCCUAUGACAUCUGGACUGAAUCAAGGAGAGUUGGCUUCAAAGUUAAAUUUCGAUUAUUUUAUUUUUGAUAAGAUCACAAAUACCAAGAAAUACUAAGUUAUCAAUUCUGAUUUGCCAGACAGGACAACACUAAGCCCGACUGCUAUUAAUAAUGUUUACCUAUCAAUGAAAACACAUGUACAAUAAGAAAUUAACUCAAAGGCCAAAAUUUUGAUCAAUUACAUUCUAUAUGUGUAGAUAAUUUUGAAAUGAUUUACUUUAUUUUAGCAACUCAUUAUAUAACCCCAAAACACACAGGUGAAACUAUUCCAAUUGAGAUUGAUAAAAUAGAAGAGGAAUUUAAUUUAAAAAAGAAAAAAUACAAAUGGUCACUGAUGCUGGGUCUAAUGUUAGAAAGGGUGUUUGAUUAGGUGAAUAUGAACAUCGCUUAUGUUUGGGUCAUGGUUUACACAAUCUGGUUACAGUAGAUGGUAUUAAAAAGGUACCCUUAUUUGAAAAUCUCAUCAAAAUAAUUAUAGGAAUUAUUACUGUUCUAAUAUAUAAAACUACAAUAGUUGAAUUUGAAUUCGAGGCAGAUCAAAGAAAAUGCCUAAGUAUAAUAGAUUUAACAUCAGACAUGUUAGAUCAUGAUAGCACUGAUCCAUAUCCAGAUACCUGAUUUUAAAUUGGCAAUUCCAUUGAUAAUGAUAACAAUAUUUCCACGCAAAACCUUAAAAUUGAACGUCCCAACACGUUGGCAUAGUAUAUUAAUUAUGCUAGAAACCAUAUGUGGAUUAAAUAAGAAUAUAAUUAAUAAUGUUUUGAAAAGAAUUGGGAAACUCUCAAAUUAUCAAACUAUUAAUCUGAUCUGGUAGAAGAACUUUUAGCAUUUUUUUUAAAAAUUAAAGAAACUGUCGAAUUUCUAUCAGUACAAGGGCCUAUGUUAAACUUGGCGUUACUUUUUAGAGGUGAAAUUGAAACACAUUUAAUAGUAAAUGACAGUGAUAGUUCUGAAAUCAUUUCACUUAAGGAAAAUAUGCUAAAAAAAACUUGCGCUACGAUUUCCGGUUUGUGAUUUUCAAGUAUUGGCUUCUCCUCCUUUAGAUCUAAGAUUUCAAAAAUUGACAAUUGUGUCAUAGUAUAUAGUAGAACAAGAUUGCUGAGCUUCAGAAUUUAUAAUAAAACAUCUUAAACUUAUAUAGAAUGAUGAUAUUCAGAUAGUAAAUAUAACUAUUGAGGAUCGAGAGGAAUUAUUAAAUUCAAGUUGACAAAAUUGGCAAAUAAACAUUCAACAAAUAUAAAUUAUGAUUCCACGUUAGGUGACUUAGAACAAGAAUACCAUAUUCUUCUUUGAAGACGACAUUCACAAGAUAUGGAUGUUCUAAAUUUUUGGAGAGAAAAGAAGAGUGAACCAAUCUUUCCAGCUCGCCAAAAAAAUUCUUUGUAUUCCGGCUACUAGCAUACCCAGUGAAAAAAUUUUGUCUACCGCUGGAUUGACGUUGAAUUCAAGGAGAUCCAAAAAUUUAAAUAAAAUCAUUUUUAUAUAUGAUAAUUAUAAAAUUACGAAAUCGAUUUUGGAUUUAU
Long non-coding RNA from Gordionus sp. m RMFG-2023, 1907 nucleotides. RefSeq lists it as uncharacterized. The record is from RefSeq and is a predicted model, not a curated record. The transcript has 4 exons. NCBI's taxonomy places the organism in Eukaryota, Metazoa, Nematomorpha, Gordioida, Chordodea, Parachordodidae.